This is a long non-coding RNA of Hylaeus volcanicus, 14207 nucleotides long. RefSeq lists it as uncharacterized. The transcript is spliced from 2 exons. The record is from RefSeq and is a predicted model, not a curated record. NCBI's taxonomy places the organism in Eukaryota, Metazoa, Arthropoda, Insecta, Hymenoptera, Colletidae.
CCUGGUCUCGCAGAUUUUCUUGUACCGAAAAUCAGUAAACUUUUACGCGUAAUAUCUUAAAAACUAUUUGUAAAAGGAUGUAUACAUUAAGCUUGCUGAAUUCGUCUUGAAACAUACUAUCUAUUCAUCACACAAAAGGUAUAUAAUCCCAUUUGAAAAAUCAAACGUAACUUUCAUAUCUCUGUAAACAGUAAUGAUACAAAAAAAUUGUUACGGCCAAUAAAUCGACCCCCUCUUGCCAUUCAAUUUCAUAUGAGAAACUUUUUUCGUAUCUUUAAUAGGUUACGAAAUAAUCGGCUGUCCAGGAUUUCGUGGGACAUACCGUAUACAUAGAUACAUACAGUGACGAGCAAAAGUGUAAACACACUCCGCUGAUUUGAUGUAAAAGGCGAAAAUUUAAUGUGAAAGUACUGUAAGGAAAAUACGCUUUAAAAAGUCAAUAUUUUAUUACGGUAAAACUAAGGGAGUAAAUUAACGAAUGACUGACUAAUGUCGCUACGUAAUCGUUCACUUUCCAAAAGCGAUUGCGGUAAAACGAAAAAGUGUCGAUGCUCGUCGAUCCUCGACACCAAACGGAAUGACUGCACCUACGUCCUCGGUCUCGUUGCCACGUCCGAGUCGACUCUUCCGUCGCUCUUUUGUUUUAUAUCUAAGGAUAGCCAAUAAUGCGUUCCAUCGACUGGGAAAGAAAUGAACAUAUUGGGCAGCGUCGACGUCGCACGCAGCGAGGCAGGGCAGUGCCGAAAGGUCGGAAACAGUGUCGUCUCUCAACAAUUACUUCUUGCCUUACAAUACGAUUCAUUUUUCAAGUGAUCGAUAAGGAUUAUGUUGGAUCGAUUGUUAAAAUUUAUUUAUAGAACGGAUCCGACAUAGUUCGUCGGUACGUUCGACUCAAAGAAACAGAUAACGUUCCAAUGUUUAGAAUACAGAGACACGUCACCAGAGCCUCACUUGGGGAGUCGGCUUCGAACUUCGGUCGCGAUCGGUCCAGAAAAUGAAAUCGAAAUGAGCAGCCAGUACAUGAAGGUCCUUUCCAGUAAAGUGCAAGGUGACACUGUGUAACAUAAUAUCAAAUUCGGUGCUUUCCAACUAUGCGCAGCUAAAAUGCUGUGUUCAACAGUGCAGACAUUCAGAGCCUAAUGACAACUCAUGUAAACUAACUACUCCGCACUUUGGCGGUGAAAUGAAGAAGCUAAUUAGUGUAUCAACCACAAACUGAGACUGUUUAGACAUUUGCCUAGAUGUCCGUGGCCUGGAAGUCAAAUACCAUAAUUACGAAAAAAACUGGUGUUUUUACACCUCAAGCCUCUCCCAGCCGCGUGUAGAGCCUGAGUGAGAGGUGAAUAAUAAUUGUUUUUGAACAUGUAUCCAUAGAAUUUUCAUUUUUAAAGAUUAUUUAAUCAAAAUCUACCUCGGUGUAACACGAUCGAUUUCACAAAGCAAAAAAUCCAUGUUUUCGGCACAGGAAAUCGGAUAAAAGAGUUCAAAUUUGAAAAAAAUAAUUUAUUGGAAAAAAACAAAACCUUGAGAUGUAAAAAAAAUACAGUUUUUUUCGUAAUUGUGGAGACUCGGAAGUGUCAACAAAAAAUACAUCAAACCCGAUGUCAAGCUAAUUUCAAAGUGACAAGUCGAUUUUUGUUGAAAAAUGUCCGUUUUUCUGCAUUCAAACGUCAUUUUCUUCCUAAAAUACCACCGUAGAAUUUUUUUUGACAAUACCAUUCAAAAGCUGAGACUUUGAGGAAGUUUUUCCCGAAGAGUGCCCGCCAAACAACUAUGUCUUUGAAACCGAAAAACGGAUAGAGAAAAAGUCAAAUUUUUUAAAAUUUUCACAAUGUAAAGUUUGACUUAAUUUUUCACUUAUUAAACCUACGUAAUAGAUUUUAGUUCGGCACCAGACAGAUGGAAAAUUUAACGCUCUUUCGAAUGGUGUACUGAUUUUUAAGUUUGCACUGUAAUUUAGUGGAGUUGUGGCCGUUUAAAGAGUGUCAAGUCGAAAACACAGAAAAAAAAUUAAAAGUGAAAAAUACUCGAGAAUAAGACGACACAAAGAAAAUGUCUAAGAGUAAAUUUUUGUUGGAAAUUUGUUGUAGAAUUGACACCCUGCGUAUGUCCGGACUUAUACGCAGACACCCUGUAUAAUACAAUCUUCAUUGUUAAAAAGAAAAUUUGCAACUGCGUUCAAUCACUGUCACAGCAAUGUAGGGAUAUACGCUGAUAUAGGACCAUAUACAUUAAAGUGGUUCUUAAAGGGGUGACUUUCGAAUUUUAAUGUUUCAAGGGUCUUGAAUGCUUCGAAAUAACUAAAAACAGAUUUCCUAAAAAUUUCAGCUCUCCGUUUCAAUUCUUAAUACCCUCGCGCAACGGUCGGAUUUUCCUACUUAAAAUUCGUAUAGGAAAUCGAAUGCUCUCCAAAAAAGACUGAUGUAAAAAUCCCGUAACUCUAAUCGGUAUAAAGUUGUAAGCUCAUAAAGUUGAAACUAUAAGAAUUUAUCUUUUUUUUUGAAUUUCUGAUAUGUUUUAAAAAUGUUUAAUACUGGUGAAAAAAAGUAGAGUGACGUACAGCGAUGAUAAUAAUUUUUGAACACUUAUACUUGUGUUGUUAAGAAUAUUAUUAAUGAAUAUUUUGUUUAUUCUUCUUACCUUACCAGACAAACAAUUCCCAGCAGAAUACUUAUAAAAUAAUCAAUAAUAUAAGGUUCCUUGUACCAUAUUAACAACUGCUUACAGGGAAAAAUACGUGUAGGAUGAAUAUUGGCAAAUACCUGUACGACAUAAUACUUGUAGAAUAGAAUACUUACCUAGAGGAUACUUGGAGCUACCUAAAGGACAGCUAUAGAAUUGUCAAAUAGCAUUGUUCAUAAUAUUGCAACUUACAGGACGUUUCAUCCCCACUCAUAAGUAUGUGAACACUUUCUCAAUUGAAGUAAGUAUCUAGCAACAAUUACAAAUCUAUUAAUAAGCAUCAGUAUUAUUGACUAUCAGUAUUAUCAAUCGUUUCUUCAAUGUAUCACCAGUAAUGAUAAAAAACAGUUCGGUUUUCUUUUAAUUAGUGUGUCCAUUGUGUAUUUUUAGAACAUUUUUUAUCAAUUUUGACACCCUACAUAGUAAUUUAUUCAUCGUAUUUAAAGCAAUAUUAUUCCAUUUAUUAGCCUUUUUCCCAAACUUAUUUGUAUAAAUAAUUCCAGAGAUUCCCUAUGAAAUUUAAUAUGCCAGUCAAAGCUUUAAUAUUACACAAUUCAAUAUUAUUGAAUGUCACUAAACACACCUCUGAAAUCAAAUUUAGCUACAAAAAGUGUUAUAGUAAUAAUGUACAAUGUCAAUUAAUUAUUCAUUAAAAGUGACAAGUGCUCACACAUUUAUGGACUGGGUUGUAGGUAGCCUUUUGUAACCAACUGUACGAAUUUAAGUUCCUUUGUUGAUGCACCGAGGCUGUGCUUUGAACAUCUCUACAGAAUCGUUUGAAGCAAUUGCCUGAGUUAAAUCAAAAGUGCAAGUUAGGCGUCUAUUGUUGAAUGCGUGGUGUUUGUCUCAUCGCUGGCACUACGGGUUACCCAACUGUUCUGAACAACGUUGGAACAGCGACAGCAGUAAUCAAAUGUAUGAGAAAGAAAGAAAGAAAUCACUGAAACCCGUGGCUUCCUGAAAACGUUGAAAAUCUGUAUUACAAUCAUUCAUCGGUCAUUAGCAGAGCUCUUACAACUGAACAAUUAAAAGUUAACCGAAACGGUACAGCCCUGUUCCGCUGUACCUGCACGACACAAUUAAAGGUAUACAUCUUAUCCACUAAACGUAUCUACACUAUGUAUAUGCUUGUGUCUACGCAAUAAGUGGACAGUGGAAUAAAAUGAAAUUAAAACCGAGACGCACCUAACAAGGAGAGGUCUGCAACGUGACGGUUUUUAAUUACCUUCUUAGCAGUGGUAUAUAAUAAACUACAGGUAAUUGUACAUGAUAUUGGGGGUAAACGGUUUAUGGAUUACAAGAUAUACAAUAUUGGAAGAAAUACUACUGUUUAUCAGAAGAAAUAUAGUCAAUAGUGUCACAAGUAACUGCGAGGUGAUCAGUAUGAUGUUAGCAUCCUAGUAUGUGUUUUCUACUUAUUCAGUUCAUUUUAAAUAUAGAUAUGCUAAAGAAUGUGGGAAAGAAGAAGAAAAUUUGGAAAAAGAAAUGGGUUUCCAACGGAGAAAGUUGGUAGGAGAAGGACCAAAGGGUUGGAAAUAAUUGAGGGAGUGUGUGAUAAAGAGUAGGUUUUUUUCUACUCUUUCAAUUUAUUUUAAACAUACAUAUAUUGAAGAAUGUGGGAAAGAAGAAGAAAAUUUUGAGAAAGAAAUGGGUUGUCAACAGAGAAAGUUGGCAGGUGAAGGAAUAAAGGUUUGAAAAUAAUUGAGGCAGUGUGUGAUAAAGAGAGGUAAGUACAAGCCCAGGAAAGUUGGCUUUAGUUUUGUUUCAGAGGCAUGAAAUAUAAGUUAAAUGUUCCUUAGAAUUUGUGAUGUACACCAAAGUUCUCCUUUAUGUAAAAAAUGAUUAAAAAUAAAUUAUCUAUCUAUCUAUUUAUAUGUUCAAUACAACUAAUUUAAAAGUAGUAUAAAACGUAGAAAACAAAUUAUUCUCAUGUUACUUAUAAAUAGACUGCGGAUUUAAAUGAAUUUAUAAGAAACUUGAAUAUGCAAGAUACUACAAAAUGCACACAGUGUUUAAGAACAUAAAAGAACAUUAAUAGUAAAAGUCAUAUUACAAUAUUUACAGUGUAAAAUAAAUUCCUAUUUAAGUGCAAUUGUUGUACAUACAUUUGCAAAGAUUUUAUUUGGCAUAAAGUUCCGCAAUCCACUUAUAAAUAAGUUAUAUAUAACAUAUUGUCAUUUGAAAUAAAUUGAAAGAAUAAAAGAAAACUACCCUUUAAAAUAAAAGUCGUAUUAGGAAGCUAACGCUUCACUGACUACGCUACAGUUGCUUUUGACUUUAGUGGCUAUAUUUCUUCUGAUAAAUAACACUAAUUGCUUCGAUAUUGUAAUCUUAUAAACAACAAAUCGUCUGCCCCCAAAACUAUGUACUACUAACUUCAGUUUUUUGUUAUCUACCCCUCUACAAAAAAAUUAAAAAUGUUAACGUCGCGUUUGAGGACCUUUCCUUGUAGGAAGGAAAAGAAGAGAAAAGAAGGAAACAAAACGCAAAGUAAAACGAGCGACAAAAUGUAAACACAUGGGUGAUUGAUAUAUCGUGUAUCGUCUAAUACCGUGAUGGGAGGGGAGCGUACAGUGUACAAAAUGGGGAAGCUCGAAUGAGAAAGAAAAAAAAAAGUAGCGAACUGAAAAAAGACAACGUAUAAAAAAAUAUAUCUCGUUGGCAUAGAGAAGCGUGAGAAAAUAGAAGCCGAAGAUCAUCAAGCACCGUGAUUAUGGAAAAAAUGGCACAUUUAUUAUAUUAUUAGUGAUAAUAAUAUUACUACCGAUAAUUAUACAUUUUCUUUUCUUUCUCAAACGAAACUCUCUCGACGCACUCUCUCACUCUCUCGUGCACCCGUCCUCGACCACUCUCAUCCUCUCUCUUUCAAUAUAUGCAUAAUAUUCGGCUCGUGCCUCAUCGGCGUUAAUAAAACUCGCAUGCAUGUUCGAAACUGAUCGUUCCAUUAUCCUCUUAAGGCCCGGGGUGUCACGCGAAUCGAGCCACGCCAGACCUAAGUACGCUUCUCCUUUUAAUUACAUAUUAUACAAUAACGUCGUUUUAGAUCUAAUGUACACGUGCGAUUUUUCGCUGGUCGACAAUCGUGUCCCGGGGCAAACGAAGGUAGUCGUCGGUAUUUCGCACAAAUUAAUAAUGAUCCUACGAGCUUUAUACCACCGAGUUCCAACGAAACGUUCGCUCAGCUCGAGCGCGAUAUAAUCCGUUCACUUUUGAUUCGAUUAUGGAACUAUUCCUAUCGAGCACUUGUUAUUUUGCACGCACUUUUAUCAAAUGAGUAAAAUAUCUCAUAGUUACAGUUCUUAAUAUUUUAUAGAAAGUGUUAUAUCCGUUGUAGGAAUAGUUAUUGAAAAUAAAGGUUAGAAAAUUUUUUACUGAAAAGUUUGGAAUAUUUUGCAGUCUCUUGCGAAUGUAAAUAAUAAGUUUUUCACAGAUAUAGCUAAAUACAGUGGAUGUAGAAUAUAUUCGUACACCGAUCAAUUUUCCUAAAAACUUUUGUGUGAAAUUCUAGUUUCUUAACUUCUUUUUUUAUAAUCAAUGAUAUUUUACAUAUUCUCGGGAGUCUCUAAAAUAGAUAUAGACCACACAACAUUUACUAGUUAAUAUAAUUUUGUGAAAUUAAUGCGAAAAAAUGCGAAAAGUGGGUAAAAGUAUAGAAGGAAUAAGUAUUUGUACGAUUCUUAUGACGAACUAUUUACAGUAGAAUUUGUAACGUAAACACAUUAGUUUAUUGAAUUAGAAAACAUCAAAUUUCCAGGAAAGUACUUUUAAAAAUGGCUCUAAUAGAGAAAUUGUAGAAGAUCCCAUUUCGAAUAAUUAAUAAUUUAGUUAAUUUAACGCUUGAAAGAGUUGCAAUAAUUAUAAAAUCAAAAGGAAAUCCCACGAAAGAAGUAUUAUACAGGGUGUCUAAAAAAUGUUGUAACACCUUGAAAGAGGUGGUUCGGGAGGUGAUUUGAAACAACUUUUUCCUUAGCGAAAAUGUUGUCCGAGGCUUCGUUGAGGAGAUAUUAACAGAAAACCCCGACCAAUCAGAGCGCGAGUAUGCCGGUGGAGCGUACACGCUCAUACGCUACCGCGGCCGCUCAACCGGUAUCCUCGCGCUCUGAUUUAAGGUGUUACAACAUUUUCGGGACACUCUGUAUACUUGUAAAUUAAUGUAUUUUUUUUUUUUUUUUUUUUAAUGAAGUUUUACAAAUUAAACAGUUGUGCGAAUACUUAUUGCUCCAAUAUUUCUAUCGAUUGUUUUUUUUUUUUUUUUUUUUUUUGUUAAUUUCGUAACGUACAUAAAUAGCUAUUUUUGUGUACUCUAUGUAUUCGUUAUUCUAGAGACGUCCGAGAAUAUGUAAAAUGUCAGUGUUUUUAAAAAAUAAGUUAAUAAAUUACAAUUUUACAUAGUUUUUGUUUUUAAAUUGAUCUGUAUAUCCUCUGUAUAUCCUAUCCAUUGGAAAAAUAGUUAUAAUUGAAAAUAAAAAUAAAGAAAUUUUCGACUAAAAAUUUUGUAAUAUUUUACAGUCCCUUACAAAUGUAAAUAAGCAGUUUUUUAUAGACAUCGUGAAAAGUAUUAAAUCUACAUUAGAAAUAGUUAUUAGAAAUAAAGAUAAGGAAAUCUGCUAAAAAGUUUCCAAUAUCUUACAGGCUCCCACAAAUAUAAGUAGUCAGUUUUCAUAGAUAUCAUGAAAACUAUGACAACUAUUUCAGAAAUGGUUAUUAUUAUCGAAAAUAAAAAUAAAGAAAUUUUCUACAGAUAGUAAGAGACGUAAAUACUGAGUUUUUCACAAACAUCGCGAAAAGUGUUAUAUUUACUGCAAAUAUAGUUAUUAUCGAAAAUAAAGAGAAGGAAAUUUCCUACAAAAUAUGUAUUAUUUUUUUGGUAUAAUUAAUAAUUUACAUAUUGCAUGACGCGAAGACUUUAAAAUUUACAGAAUCACAGAUUCGUACAGAAUUAUAGUGGUUGAUCAAAUUAUCAGGCUGAUAAUUAUCAGGUGAAAAAAACACUUUUGGGACACCCUGUACAUAUAAAAAUUUUGGCUUUUUACAUCCGAAAACUUUAAAUAUGUUUUUCUCAAAGCCACGUUUCUCAAACUGGCGAGACGCAUAGCCCAUCGAAUUUUUACCCGAUUCGCCUGAUUCAAAGUUUGAAUUGAAGAUAAUUAAGUUUAUAUGCGGAUCGAAUCGAAUCUUCACGGAUUAUUUUUUUUUUGUUAAAUUUAGUUUGUUUAAGGUCGCACCAACAUCAUAGGUUAUACAUCCAAGUUCAAUGCCAUCAUUUUGAAUACUUUCUAUAACAGUAAGUACCCGAAUAAUAAAAUUAAUGAAAUAUUUGAAGAGUCCUUUGAAACAAUUUAUUUUCUACUACAGACAACCUGUGUAACCUUGAAUGACCUUCAACUAUAGGUCAUCGUAUUCAUCUUUAAAUCCUCUAACAGAUAAGCAUAAAAAAAUUAUAUGUUUAUUUGCAAAAAGUUUAAGGUGAUCUUGAAAAAAUAAAAAGAAAUAGCUGAAAAAUAAUUUUUUAUAAUCACGUUAAAUAUCCCUCGAAACCACACAAAAGCUGAUAAAAACAAUUUAAAACUGAUAAAAACAGAUCGGACUACUAAUAACAGUAUAAUAUCCACUGAUCAUGAUUCGAAUCACAAUUCACCUUGUAUUAACAUGUGACCUGAAAGUUGCACGGGCCCAUCGAGGGUUAAGAUGCAACAACUGCAUGAAGCAGACACCCAAUUAUUUGAAGAGGUUAAGGUGGUAUUAAACCCUUGUGCUGGUUAUGAUGGUUCUGCGGCAUUAUUCUACCGCGUUGUCUCAGAAAUCGGCGAAGACAUAAAUCGCAUCUUCAUGGUAAAAAAAAGGGCAUCAAAUACCGGUGGGUAUUUAUUUAAUAUCGCUUCACAGUAAUGUUAAUGUGGUGUUGGCUUCAAACCCUGAGGAUAAAGAUAGAGAGAACAACAAAGACACUAAGUGUUCAGUUAAGCUCAAGAAUUUAGCUUUCAAAUUGGGCAGAGUAGAUUUGUUAAUCGUGGAUACAGACGAUCUACAAAGACUAUUCUGCUGAUGGAAUCAAGAACCAUAAUUUCUGGUACAAGACCUCAAGGGAGUGGACUUCCUGGCAGCUGUGUGAAACCUGAGCGAAUGCAUUGAUAUCGGAGGCAAAUUGUAUAUUAAAAUUAAUGGUUUAGUUGGUUUCCGACCUUAAUCCUUUGCACUCUGAACCAUUUUCUUACAAAAUGUGCAAACAGGAAUCAUGUCGUAUUGGAUGAUACAACACUUAUAAAACAUGUAAUUUACUGUAAUUAUAUUUGAGCUUAUAUGAAUCUUUAGACAUUGAGGAACAUAUUUAUCAUUAUUUAUGUCAAACAUCAAAAUUGUAUACUAUUCUGGUAUAUGAUAAUGUGUGAAAUAGUCAUAUAUAUAUGCAUUGUAUAGUUUCUAUCUUUUAAAUUGGAAUCUUACUUUCAUCCCACAUCUUACUUUCUUAUACAAAUGCUCUUUGUCGUUUUUGUAGGUGUAGACUAUUCACACAUUCUUCUUCCGUAUAACACAAGCUCACAUGUGGAUUUGAAUUUUUGUGAUAUUUCAAUAUAAACCUUCAAGGCAUCAUACACUUUUACAAAUUUUAUGCUCCUCUAAGUUUAUCCUACGUAAUCACUAAUAAAGUUUGUCUGGACUUACGAUGUCCCCUCAGAAGCGAUAUCCGAGUGCAAAGGGUUAAAUAUCUGGAAUGGUAAGGAGCCAGGGUUUGAGAAACAUAGUGAAAGCAUUUUAGAAGAUCUAGUUGAACCCAUCUCUCGUUUAUACGACGAAUUGACAAAGAAAUCAGUCAAAAAGAAAGUUUGGCAAAAACGAAGAGAGAGAGAGAGAGAGAGAGAGAGAGAGAGAGAGAGAGAGAGAGAAGAAUGGAUGGAAAAUAGAUGUGAAUGUUGUACAACAGUCGCUAUGCAAGCCCUCAGCGAGAUGACAGACAUAGUGUCGGACUACGGUAUAUUCCAGCACCAUAAAGAAUAAUACUGCAAAAAUACAGAAUAUUCCAGCAUUACAGGUCAUAAUACAAGGUAAUACAUCAUAUUGCAACAUGAUAGAUGGUAAUACUGUAUAUUGCUACACAGCAUAAUACAGUUUAAUACAAAAAAUUUGAGCAAAAUAGAGGGCUGUACAAACAUAUAUUGGGAUACAGCGAACCAUAUGUUUCAAUAGCUCCCAGGUGGGACUGGUUGCGAUGGUCUAGGCUAGAGAAUAUAAAGCUGUCAACUUUAAAGUAUUAAUUAGAGCACGCCUCUUAUAUAAUAGUGGUACUUUCAAUAAAAAAAAUCUUUUUUCCUCGAUGCUGUAUUACCCAACAUUUUUAGAAUUGCUUUGAAUUACGCUUAUAACUAAUUCGAUGAAGAUUGACUAAAUAUGAACAUGCAUUAAGAAUCGACCAAAGUACAAAGUCUUUGUGUCACGUGUAAAUUAUUGCCUAUAAAAAAAAAUUCAAAUAACGUUCCUAUAUAGAAAUUUGCCCUAUUUUUGUUUGGCUACGACUACACUGUCGAUAUUUAUGCAAUUAUGGCAAAUGGAGGUAUAGGAAGAUUUAUGAGACUUGGCACAAACGCAAAAAUAUAUAAAAUAUCAACACUAGUAUACAUUUAGUAAUAUACAUUUAGUAAUUAUAAUAUACAUUAUUAUACCGUUUAGAAAAUAAAACAUACUCUGAUUUAAGUUUAAGUUCUUUCUUCUGUAUCUGUGAAAGUAUGAAUUUAAGUGGGGAUGUUUAUAUAAAUUAAUAUUUUCACUGAUUCAGAAAAAGAAUUCAAACUUGAAUGAAAGUAUGUUUUAUCUUCUAAACGGUAUAGCAUGUAUAUUACUAUUCACAUUUUAUGAAUGCAUGCGCUUGUGAACAUUCGCGUAGAACUUCCUGUAUUUCAAUUUGCCAUAAAUGUAUAAAUAUCAGUAGUUUACUCCUUAAUGUGCAACAUACGUACAAAACACUGAUUAUUUACACUAGUCGUGACGGUACAAAAUGAUUCAUGCAACUGUGAGAUAUUUUACACGUUUGUAAGUAUUUAGUAAAAGUAAAUGCCAAACGUCGGCUCGAUGUAAAUAUUUUCAUAACGUCGACAAGGAUUUUAGUCCAGAGCAGAGCACCAGGACGAUCUCAGCAUGCGGCGAGCACACAAAUUAAUGGCGACAUGGUCGCACUACUAGUUCACGUGCUCGACAUUAUGUGUCUAACUAUGGAAAAUAGAGAGUAAGGAGAACAAACUCUGUGUAUAGAAACCUAGAAACGUGUCUCUCGUCUGUCGAAGAUUUCAAAUAACGCUGGGAAUAUUGAGAGGAUAAUUUUGAAAGCGGACGCUUUUCAGUUUAAAACUCCGUAUGAGUUUGUCGUACUUAUCUCUACCCUUCAUACGUCCAGCUCUGGUCUAGAAUAACCGCACCGAUACAGUCGAUAAGAAGAAGAUCGCCUCGAUUAGAGUCGUCCCGCGAACUUCAGCGUUUCAAUGAAUUCUGAAACUCGUGGUAAAGCAAUUUUGACUCCCAUUUACCGUCGACGUGAUCUCCUUCGACGAAUGAACCUACCAAUGGUCCGAUUCAAAGUAAAUACGACCUAAUUUCGCAAAAUCUUGCGUAAUGCGUUUACACCAAAGGGGAUAUGCCAGAGAAACAGAAGUAUGUCUGGGAGUGUUUCGAACGAAUUCGAAAGUAAAAUUAAACGAUUUCGAAAGGCUCCAUCGAUACGGUGGCGACUCAUUAGCAAGACUAUUCCCAAUUGAUGGCGGAAUCGCACAGAUUUCUUUAUGUAGAUGUAGAAAGUAUACCGCAAGUAUAAUAAAAAUAUAAAUUAAAAACGCUCUCGACAAUUGCUUCCUAAACAUUAUUUUUCUGUUACUUCAACAGGCUAUUAAAAUAUUUUGAAGUAAAUACGAAGAACUUCUCUUCGUCAGAAAAUGCGUUCUCUCAUUUUUAAAUGCAUUGUUUGUCUGAUUUUGUUUUAGUUUUUCAAUUACAUUUUUUUAACCUUUAUGCUGGGUUGAAUGAGAAUUAACGUAAAAGACCUUCAGGGACUAUGUAAUCGUUUCAUUUGUGAAUGCUGAAUCAAAGUAUAAAUAAUGUGGUAAAAUUUGUUUUUAACGUUGAUUUGUUCGAUAUAUCAUGCAUGUUGGUGUCAUGUUAUCACUGGUUGGUUAAUAAUGAGCAACACAGUAAUUGAUGGAAGAAUUAAUUAAAGUGUGUUCUUCAACCGUGUGGUUGCGUAAUUUUCUUUGAAAAAGUAAAACGUUAAAUAACACAAAAAUAUUGAUAAAGAAACGAAUUAAAAUGCGUCGAAAUUUGUAAGCAAUGAAAAUUCUGGUAAAGAAGAAAAAUUGUAUUACUUUAAUGAGACACAGCUUCUAAUAUUUAUCAGGGCUUUUCUUUGUCUUCCCGUUUGAAUUUUAUAUUUUUUUAUAAUUCCAUUGCAAACAAAACUAUUAUUCAUUCACAUCUUUAUUAACAUAUGUGUUAUUUAAAGUCUGUAUUUUCUUGUGUAGUUCAAAUGUUAAAGAACAUUACCAGUAUGUGUAAUAAGUACUCUAAAUUAUAUAUUUAAAACUGACAAACAUUGUUGUUUACAGUUACUGUGAUAAUCUAAUAAUUAUGGUAAGUUCUUAUAUCACAUAUACGAUAAACAGUUGACUGUUGUAAUUAAUUUUUGAUAGAGAUUUAAGUGUGAAUGACAAUAAUUAACUUGUUAAGCAUUUAGGUUCUCCUCCCUUUAUAUGAAUUUUAUUUUAUCAUGAUUUUAGAGCUUAUAGACAAUUAGGCGUUUAUAAAUAGGCUCGACGUUGUGAAUUUUUUGUAGAAACCAUUAAUUUUUUUGUAUGCUUUUGUAUUAGUGGAAAGUACAGUUCAUAAGUAACAUAAAAAUAAAUGAUUAUAAAAAACAUUGAAAAAUAAUUUAAAGUACAGACAGAUCCCUUCACGGCGAUUAAGUUAAGUUUAAUAUUAAUGGAAAAGUGUAGAUCAGGUAUGGGAAACUUCCAACAUACAGGACGCAACCAUCCUUUUUUCAUACUUCUUUAAUUCUGUAUCUCCUUCAUUUAUAAUCUGCAUAUUCUCAAACAACUUUUAUUUCAGUUACUUGGAACUAAAAAAUUGUUGUUUUUUAAGCCACGUGCUUUAACUUUAUAAAAACCAAUUUUUCUUGACUGCUAUUUACUAUAAUAUACUUUGUCGCCUUUUAUAUAAAUUUAAUUUUCACUUAUUGUAACCCAUUAAUUGUAUACCUACUCAACGUAAAUAACUAUAUUUAAUCUUUAGACUCCUCAUGUCCUGUUAUUUGAAUAAUUUUAAACUAUCGACAUUUGAAAUCUAUUAUCUGGUCUAAAAAAUCUAACAAAUAAUUGUUGUCCAACAAAUUUAUCUAUAAAUAUAAAACUAAAAAAAUAAUUAUUUACUAUUUCCUAAAAGAAAAUUUAAUGUACGAUGUUAAUAAACUAAAACAUAGAGUACAAAAUCGUCCGUUUAUUUCUGAACUUUAAAACAGAGAUUAAUUUAUAUCGAAGUAAGUAAUGUGUUUAUAAUUUUGGCAAAUUUAGCUCUACACGAAGCGUGCAGCAUUGCGAGACAUUCCCAUGCUGAAAGGUCCCCAGCCCUGAUGUAAAUGGCUGUAGCCGUCAAGAAAACACAGAUGAUAUUGAAAAGUUAUUAAUUAUACAAUGGCCAAAACGCCAUGAUUGUAUAAUUACCUGGGUACUCUUGAUGACCAUUAACAUCUAUACGCUUUCUAAAUUAUUAACAGAACAACAUUCCACAUUUCGUUUAAUAUUAAUGACGCGCAUUUAACCAUUCUUAACUCUUUCGCUACGAAGAUUGUAUAUACACUUCUUAAAAAAUGAGAGUCAAUUGCGAAUGGCGCAAACGUACGCCCUCUGAAGAUGAACAGUCUUUUUUCGUUUGAAAAUAUUACUUUGGACUUCGCAGUUCCUGUACCCCAGGUACCUAUGAAAUCAAGCAGGUAUUCCAGCAUAGAAUUUCGAAAAAAUACAUUUUUGUUCGAUAUAAGUUUUUUGAAAGAAUAUGUUUUAAAAAGUGUAUUUGUCAAACUCUGUCGGAAUUUACAAAUUUAAUUCGGAAGAAGCUUAGUACUUCGUAAAUGACAAAUUUCUUAAAUAUUAGUAGUAAUAAAAUUGAACGUAAAAGCAGCACAGAAAGUAUAAAGGCCCCAAACUAUAUACAAUUGUUACAAAUGCAAUAUUGAUUUACAAUAAAUUUUCAUAUAAUUUAAUACUGAUAUUUUUCUUUCUCUUCUAAAAACAGUAGAAUAGAUCAAAAUACAAUGUCAAAUAACUAAAUUAUUUGUUUCUUCGUAACGUUAUGUUUUGAGAACACUCUGAAUUAAAAUCUUUUAUUUUUGCACAAUUAAUCUUAACGAGUAAGUACACGCAGAUUUAUAAAAGCAAUUAAAUUUGUAAAAGCAAGUCCAAAAACAAUGUUUGGUCUUCAAAGAAUUAAAUGCAAAUUUUAAAAUCCACCUGGCCGAUUGACUUCAAAUUUUGUGAGUGUGAAAAAAGAAA